UACAGAGGUGGCAAGCGUUGUUCGGAAUUACUGGGCGUAAAGGGCGCGUAGGCGGUCUUGUAAGUCUUGUGUGAAAUCCCUCGGCUUAACUGAGGAACUGCACGGGAUACUGCGAGACUUGAGAUCGGGAGAGGGAAGCGGAAUUCCGGGUGUAGCGGUGAAAUGCGUAGAUAUCCGGAGGAACACCGGUGGCGAAGGCGGCUUCCUGGACUGAUACUGACGCUGAGGCGCGAAAGCUAGGGGAGCAAACAGG
RNAcentral lists this ribosomal RNA (253 nucleotides) under uncultured bacterium. RNAcentral's name for it is "partial 16S ribosomal RNA". It matches the Rfam family "Bacterial small subunit ribosomal RNA", at positions 524 to 776 of the family's 1533-position model. The record is from RNAcentral.